This 305-nucleotide ribosomal RNA is filed under the name uncultured bacterium. RNAcentral describes it as "bacterial SSU rRNA". It matches the Rfam family "Bacterial small subunit ribosomal RNA", at positions 337 to 659 of the family's 1533-position model. The record is from RNAcentral.
GCCUACGGGGCGCAGCAGUGGGGAAUAUUGCACAAUGGGGGAAACCCUGAUGCAGCGACGCCGCGUGAGCGAAGAAGUAUUUCGGUAUGUAAAGCUCUAUCAGCAGGGAAGAAAAUGACGGUACCUGACUAAGAAGCCCCGGCUAAAUACGUGCCAGCAGCCGCGGUAAUACGUAUGGGGCAAGCGUUAUCCGGAUUUACUGGGUGUAAAGGGAGCGUAGACGGCCAGACAAGUCUGAAGUGAAAAUCCAGCGCUUAACGUUGGAAGUGCUUUGGAAACUGCCGGGCUAGAGUGCAGGAGGGGCA